This 253-nucleotide ribosomal RNA is filed under the name uncultured bacterium. Its description in RNAcentral is "partial 16S ribosomal RNA". It matches the Rfam family "Bacterial small subunit ribosomal RNA", at positions 524 to 776 of the family's 1533-position model. The record is from RNAcentral.
UACGUAGGGUGCAAGCGUUGUCCGGAAUUAUUGGGCGUAAAGAGCUCGUAGGCGGUUUGUCGCGUCUGCUGUGAAAUCCCGAGGCUCAACCUCGGGUCUGCAGUCGAUACGGGCGGACUGGAGUUCGGCAGGGGAGACUGGAAUUCCUGGUGUAGCGGUGAAAUGCGCAGAUAUCAGGAGGAACACCGGUGGCGAAGGCGGGUCUCUGGGCCGAUACUGACGCUGAGGAGCGAAAGCAUGGGGAGCGAACAGG